UGGUUCCCUCGCAAUGAAAAACCGUGAACCUGGUCAGGCCCGGAAGGGAGCAGCCACAGCGGUGGCCUCAUGUGCCGGGGUGUAGCUG
Molecule: signal recognition particle RNA, 88 nt
Filed under: marine eukaryotic metagenome
Description: Bacterial small signal recognition particle RNA
Rfam family: Bacterial small signal recognition particle RNA
About the family: The signal recognition particle (SRP) is a universally conserved ribonucleoprotein involved in the co-translational targeting of proteins to membranes. Archaeal SRP consists of a 7S RNA and homologues of the eukaryotic SRP19 and SRP54 proteins.
Source: RNAcentral